UUUCAACGGCAUAUCCUUGAAGGUGAUAUUCCCUUUUUUUAUUUUUUGUUUAAUAUACAAAAAAUCGGAAAAUAAAUAAAGCAAACAAAGAAAUAAAAGAUCUAAGUCGAAAUUCACCUCUUUUGAUUUUAUUUCACUGUUUUUUUCAAUUUACAGUCCUCUCCCCCAUUACAUAUUUUAAUCGGCUUUUAAAUAGUCGAAAAUAACAAUGAAAAUAAUAAAAAUAAAAAAUAGAAAAUAGAAAAUCCCCUCUUUUUCGUUAUUUUGCUGUAGUCGUUGGCUGUUUGUUGCUGUAGGUUCGUGCGUGACGUGCGCGGGGUGGUCGAUUCCGAGACGUGCGGCG
This 343-nucleotide long non-coding RNA is filed under the name Gossypium barbadense (sea-island cotton). RNAcentral's name for it is "long non-coding RNA (GBAR_LNC015600)". Lineage: Eukaryota; Viridiplantae; Streptophyta; Magnoliopsida; Malvales; Malvaceae. The record is from RNAcentral.